CAUGCGCACCUUGCGGCAAGUGAAUGCAGGCGUUUGUUGAGCAGCGGGAGAGACGAAGUAGUUUCUAGCCUUUUCUUCUAGCACUUUAAAUCUCCGGCUUUACCCGUGAGCUGUCAUAUUAUUCAGCGACAUUGUAGUGGACUCUGUCUGAAUAAACCUCACUUUUAAUAAUGCCGCGUGGUGGGAAAAAGGGCCACAAGGGCCGAAGUAAGCAGUUCAGCAACCCUGAGGAGAUUGAUCGACAGAUGAAAGCCCAGAAAGAGCUGGAGGAAAAUCCUGGUGCAGAGAAAGAAAGCUCUGCGGAGUCAGAUGAGGACAGCAGCAGUGAGGAGGAGUCUGACUCCAGGAAGAGGAGUGGAGUGGAGGGGCUCAUACAAAUUGAGAAUCCCAACCGUGUGUCUCAGAAGAGCAAGAAGGUAACGGAAUUAGACGUCAGUGCUCCCAGAGAGCUGUCUCGCAGAGAGAGAGAGGAAAUAGAGAAGCAGAAAUCAAAGGAACGCUACAUGAAGCUUCACCUUGAGGGUAAAACUGAACAGGCCAGGGCUGACCUGGCCAGACUGGCCAUCAUCAAGAAACAGAGGGAGGAAGCUGCUAAGAAGAGAGAUGAACUCAGGAAAGUAGGUUAAGAGAAGAAGUGAAGAACAAGAGAGUCAGGAUUUGCCUUGUUGGCAUCAUUCAUUCGCUGCUCUGCUUGAAAAAGAAGCUGAAGAAGCCAAAGCAAAGCGCUAGAUGUCCAGCUCAAAGCUUCCACAUGCACUUCAGUCUUAGAGGGAUGGAGGGAGAAGGAGAUCUGGAGGAGAACGGGGAGGGGACCAACACGAAUGGUGUCUGAUCAGGACUGCUCCUGAACUCCUGUCCCUCAUUUCAAAUCAGGGGGUGUGGAUCUUCCACAACAGUGUGGUGAGGACAGAGAAAACAGGUGGAGCAAAGCAAGGUGAAGAGGAAUGCAACAUUUGGGAUGCCUCAGGUCUUCUUUAAAAUUCCUUGAAGGUUCAAGAGGAGACAACCACAGGUUUUCCAAGUGCUUCACAGCCUCUUUAUUUUUCCCCACCAACCAGGGUUUUAAUUCUAAAGCUGCUGAAAUUAUUUCCAUUCCUUCUGAUUUAUACAUUUUUACAAACCUUAUACAAGUUUUACUGGACAGAUAUUACAUUGAGCAUGCAUGAUUUGUUUGGUGCUUUUUACCCCUAUUUGUUUUGUAAGAAGUCAAAGAACAUUAUUCAACUGAUAUAUAGAAAGUAUUCACUAUUUUCCUCUGUAUUUAAGUUCAUCAUGCUGCACCACAGCUAUCAAAUUCACUGACAGUUGGGUGAAUAUGUUGUAUACGAUCUUUCCCCUUCCUCCCCCCCACAAUCUGAGCAAAACCAGUUGUCAGUUCAAAGGUGUUUCCAGAUGUUUUCUGUAAUCUUUUGCUUGCAUUCUAAGGUUGUUUAACAUCAGUGCUGGAAAGCGCAGUCUCAAACCGCCUCACUAACUGUUCUUGUGCCCUGUUUCCGAUGAGAUCUUCUGUAGGUGUCUGGGAGAGAUUGUGUCUUCUGUUGCCUUUUUUUUUAAAGUUUGCACAAGACCAACUCACUGUCUUUCUCCUGUGAUUAUAGUGCUACAAUCAACCUACACAGGGUUGGUUUAUUAGGUACACGUACAAUCCACCACUAUGCAUCAGCAACACUAACAACACUCUCUAAAUUACCAGACAGCAACUCUUUGCUCACAGUGUGAACAAAAACUAAAUAUCAAUUCGACCAAGAGAGGACUCACAUUGGUAAUGUUAAGACUUCACAGUGGUACAGAAUAAACUAUUAACUCAGUAUGCGGAGGAUUUGGGAUGGCCUUGACCAGGAAAACAAUAUUCCCUAUAAAAUGGAAGCAGUUCACUCAACAAGCUGUUGGAUCCACAAAGUAUAAGCAAUGUAGUUAAAUUUUCCAUCUUGUAUUUGAAGAAAUUUUUAAAAAUAAAAUCAUCAAUAAAUA
Acanthochromis polyacanthus (spiny chromis) is the source of this 1971-nucleotide RNA transcript. It is a transcript of the gene named pdgfa associated protein 1a, with no coding region annotated. The record is from RefSeq and is a predicted model, not a curated record. The transcript has 7 exons. NCBI's taxonomy places the organism in Eukaryota, Metazoa, Chordata, Actinopteri, Pomacentridae.